This is a long non-coding RNA of Rana temporaria (common frog), 1072 nucleotides long. RefSeq lists it as uncharacterized. NCBI's taxonomy places the organism in Eukaryota, Metazoa, Chordata, Amphibia, Anura, Ranidae. The record is from RefSeq and is a predicted model, not a curated record. The transcript is spliced from 3 exons.
AUGAAGACAGCAACUUUCCAUUUCUACACUUGGGAACAGAGUGGAGAAAUGUCUUUACCAUUUUGAAUGGAAAAGAUGGCUACUGACAGCGCAUGGACAGUGCAAUUACCGCUAAGCUUGUUUUGUAUAUGGAUCUCUGCCAGGAGCGGUCUUGAAGGUGUUAUAAGAAUGAAGACAUCUGGCAGCUGGCAUCCUUACAAUUCAUUUGCCAAACACAAGUUGCACAUUGUUGGAAUUUUGAAUUGAAAGUCACGCACCAGACUCGCAUUCCCAUUGGCUUGAACUACGAAUGGGAUGUCAAACAUCGUCACCAGCUGAUGUACCUGUUAUGUGUGUCGUGUACUUUUUUCAAUAAGUGGAGCACCUGUACAGCAACAGCACUCCCACACUACAAGCAACUUUAGUUAGAUGACCCUUCAGUUCUGGUAUGAAUUUCAAGAGGUACUGUACACACACGCACACACAAAAAGCAUGAGGUCCCUCAAAAAAAUCAACAGCAAACCCUUAUCUAAGCAUUCAGUCUAGGAGGACCAGAAUAGGGAUGAGAAUGUGGCCCCCCUCAUGAACCAUAUCAGAGCACAUUGCCCUCAACAUUUACCGUCCAUCACAUCAUCUAGCAAUGAAAGUCCACAUCAUUUAUGAUGCCCAACAUCCACGGAAGAAAUAAAAAUGAUUGACACAUGUCUACUUUCAUCGCUUCAUUCCCACUGAAUGACAGGUCUGGUGGAUGACAGAUGAUGUAAACAAAGGGGUUUAAACAGCCACUAGACCAGGGUUAUGAGGAAGAGGCCCUGCUCCUCUUCAACAUAUUGGCAAGGUCUUUUGUUGGGUGGGGUCUCCUUCAAUUUUAAAGGGCAUGUGACCUGGUGUGGUUUAGGGGACUGCAUGCUCAUGGCACCCUUUUCUGGCCUACCUUGGUUUUAAUGGGGCCUGGUUUAAAUUUUGGGUGGGGUUUUAUCUUUUUUUUUUAUAUGGGAGUUCCCCUUUAAAGUCCAGAUCAGACCCAAACGCCCAGUAUAGAAUUUAGGGGUGACAUCAUUCCUUUAAGUAUAUACCAGACUUGAAGAACCCC